GGACGAACGCUGGCGGCGUGCCUAAUACAUGCAAGUCGAACGGUCUUUCUAUGGAAGCUUGCUUCCACUGAGAAGAUAGUGGCGAACGGGUGAGUAACACGUGGGUAACCUGCCCAUAAGAGGGGGAUAACAUCCGGAAACGGGUGCUAAUACCGCAUAGUUUUCUUGAUCGCAUGAUUGAGAAAGGAAAGACGGCCUUUGUGCUGUCGCUUAUGGAUGGACCCGCGGCGUAUUAGUUAGUUGGUGAGGUAACGGCUCACCAAGACGAUGAUACGUAGCCGACCUGAGAGGGUGAUCGGCCACAUUGGGACUGAGACACGGCCCAAACUCCUACGGGAGGCAGCAGUAGGGAAUCUUCCGCAAUGGACGAAAGUCUGACGGAGCAACGCCGCGUGAGUGAAGAAAGGUUUUCGGAUCGUAAAACUCUGUUGUCAGAGAAGAACAAGUUGGAGAGUAACUGCUCCAGCCUUGGCGGUAUCUGACCAGAAAGCCACGGCUAACUACGUGCCAGCCGCGGC
This 518-nucleotide ribosomal RNA is filed under the name uncultured bacterium. RNAcentral describes it as "bacterial SSU rRNA". It matches the Rfam family "Bacterial small subunit ribosomal RNA", at positions 27 to 518 of the family's 1533-position model. The record is from RNAcentral.